RNAcentral lists this long non-coding RNA (1078 nucleotides) under Vigna radiata. RNAcentral's name for it is "long non-coding RNA (VRAD_LNC017731)". Lineage: Eukaryota; Viridiplantae; Streptophyta; Magnoliopsida; Fabales; Fabaceae. The record is from RNAcentral.
UAUAAUAUCAAAGAUAUAAUUGAGAGCGGUCGGUUGAGAUGUAACGGCUUUAGUAAAAUGCAAGAGAUAUAAUAUCAAAGAUAUAAUUAAGACUCGUCAGUUGAGAUAUAAUUGCUCUAGAGUCCUGUAUUAUGAAAAUAUAGACUAGAUCGUUCGGUGUUUGAUUGAUAUUUUGAAAAAUCCAUCUGAAGAUGCGUCAUGACCAAGAAAUAGUCUUUCUCAAGUCUUUAGACCGGGGCUUAAAUUUGAAUUUAUGGGGUGUAACACUUUUGCAAUUGCUUCUCUCACAUUCCCUGAUAAUGAAUCAUGAACUAUAUGCUCCAGGAUAUAGUGAACAAGGUUGGUGCAGGUGGCAGCGAAACCCCAGAAUUUGUGGAAUUCUUGCACUCAACUCCAAGAAAAGAAAUUAAUUUUAUAAUAUCCAUCGUACACCAACCUUCCCAUUGAUUUAAACUUAAAUGCCGGGACCCACCAUAUUUAGCUUUCGGAUCCCAUUAUUUUAACACAACUUUUUUUUUUUAAAUCUGUGAACCAAAAUGAAUAGAGUUUGGAAAAUUUGGCAUUCCAAAUAUACCCUUUCCCUGUUCCAUCGUGUUUUGUCUCAAAUUUCGUUCUCUCUCUCAUUUUGUUCUCUCUCUCAUUUUGUUCUUCUCUGCAUUGUGGUUGCCCCCUGCUUGGUCUGUGUGACAUUCGAUUUUUGGUUCUCCGUUGUUGGCGUUUGAUGGAAAUGGAAAGUCCCGAACAACAGCUUCGUUGUAGGAAGGUAAAUGCGUUGUUGGGUUUUGGGUUUUUUGUUAAGGUACUUGGGUUUUUGUGUUGUUCGACUUUUGGGUUUUUGUUUUGCGUUGUUGGGUUUUUGGUUUGCGUUGUUAGGUUUUGUGUUUUUGAUUUGUGGUCUUCCGUUCUGGAUGUUGUGGUGAGGGUUUAAUGUUUAUUUGUUUUGGGUUUUUGAUUUGUGUUCGUCGUUAUUGAUGUUGUGGUAAGGGUAGUGUGUUUUUGUGUUUUGUGUAAUUGUUUUGGGGUCUUGUGUUCUUUGUUUUAUGUUUCUUUGUGGGUUUUUCGACCCCUUUUAGUUUUG